RNAcentral lists this ribosomal RNA (448 nucleotides) under uncultured bacterium. RNAcentral's name for it is "partial 16S ribosomal RNA". It matches the Rfam family "Bacterial small subunit ribosomal RNA", at positions 29 to 523 of the family's 1533-position model. The record is from RNAcentral.
AACGAACGCUGGCGGCAUGCCUAACACAUGCAAGUCGAACGAGAUCUUCGGGUCUAGUGGCGCACGGGUGCGUAACGCGUGGGAAUCUGCCCUUUGGUUCGGAAUAACAGUUGGAAACGACUGCUAAUACCGGAUGAUGACGAAAGUCCAAAGAUUUAUCGCCAGAGGAUGAGCCCGCGUAGGAUUAGCUAGUUGGUGUGGUAAAGGCGCACCAAGGCGACGAUCCUUAGCUGGUCUGAGAGGAUGAUCAGCCACACUGGGACUGAGACACGGCCCAGACUCCUACGGGAGGCAGCAGUGGGGAAUAUUGGACAAUGGCGAAAGCCUGAUCCAGCAAUGCUGCGUGAGUGAUGAAGGCCUUAGGGUUGUAAAGCUCUUUUACCCGGGAUGAUAAUGACAGUACCGGGAGAAUAAGCUCCGGCUAACUCCGUGCCAGCCGCCGCAGUAA